Non-coding RNA from Musa acuminata subsp. malaccensis (wild Malaysian banana), 2867 nucleotides. The record is from RefSeq and is a predicted model, not a curated record. Lineage: Eukaryota; Viridiplantae; Streptophyta; Magnoliopsida; Zingiberales; Musaceae.
CGAACGCGCAAGAAAAAGGCAGCUUCUCUUGACGGCUUCACUCUCCAUCCCCAUCCAAUCAUCACCGUCCUCGUCGUCAUCUCACUCCCGGAUGAUUUCUAGGGCUUUGUUGUUUCGCUUUUCAUCUCGAAAGCGGCGAUCCAAUUCAUACUCUCACGACGAGUGGUGCUGAUUCUUGUCAGAUCUCGGCCCUGGAGAGACAAGGCAGGGUUUGUCGAGGGUUUGAAAUGUGAACUCUGCUUUAAGAUGUUCCACCAGAGCAAGAUCAAGUUGGCUGCGCUCGUGGGGAUCACAUUGUCCGUGCUUUCUUUGCUUGUGCACAUUUUUGUUGCAAAUUAUUCAGUGGGGGACUUUCUACGAUACAAGUUGCAAGAAGACUACUUAUACCCACAGGGACAUAAACUUUGGCAUCGAAGGUUGUGGGGUCCGGUGAGCUCCUUGGAGGUCUUGCAACCAUAUGCUAAGCCGAGAAAUUUCUACCCUGUUCCAGGUCAGCAGAAUGGUUUGAUAUAUGCAAAAAUCUUUGGUGGAUUUGUGAAGAUAAGAUCUUCAAUUUGCGACCUUGUUGCUAUUGCAAGGCUCUUAAAUGCCACACUCGUCAUUCCAGAGAUCCAACAAAGUGUUCGUUCAAAGGGCAUCAGUAAAAAAUUUAAGAGUUUCUCUUAUCUUUACGAUGAAGAACAGUUCAUAGCAGCACUUUUAGAUGAUGUUAUUGUUAUAAAGAGCUUGCCAGCAGAUCUGAAGGAGGCUAGGAAAAGGACAAAAUUUCCUACAAUAUCACCGAAACGAUCAGCUUCCCCAACUUUUUAUAUCAGAGAAGUCUUACCUAAACUUAAACAAUCAAAGGUUAUUAGGAUGCUAGUUUCUGAUGGAGGAUGCCUUCAGCCUAUCCUUCCAUCAAGCUUGGAUGAAUAUCAGAGACUUAGAUGCAGGGUUGCCUUCCAUGCUCUUAAAUUCCGCUCAGAAAUUCAGGCACUUGGCAAACAAAUGGUAGAAAGGUUACAGGCAACUGUUGGUCCGUAUCUAUCGUAUCAUCCAGGCCUUGUCAGGAACACCCUUGCAUUUCAUGGUUGUGCUGAACUUUUCCAGGAUGUUCAUACUGAACUCAUUCAGCAUAGAAGGAAGCAGCUGAUAAAACAGGGAACAGUUGAUGAAGAUCUUAUUGUUGAUUCAGUUUCUAGAAAGACAAAUGGUUCAUGCCCUCUAUUGCCUGAAGAGGUUGGACUUCUUCUUCGAGCAAUGGGAUAUCCACCAAAUACCGUAAUCUAUUUGGCUGGUUCUGAGACAUUUGGUGGGCAGAGGAUUCUAGUUCCAUUGCAAGCCAUGUAUACAAACUUAGUAGAUUGCACAUCCUUAUGCAGUAAGAAAGAGCUGUUAAACUUGAUUGGUCCUGAAUAUCCUCUUACUUCAAAUCUCUCUCAGCCUCCUCCAGUGAAGAGUGAAAAACAACUUAUUGAGGAGUGGAAGAAAGCUGGGCCUCGACCACGACCCCUUCCUCCCCCUCCUGCAAGGCCCUUUUACCAGCAUGAGAAUGAAGGUUGGUAUGGUUGGGUUGCUGAGACUGAUAUAGAGCCUGAGUUUUCGCCUUUGGAUCUUAGGAAGCAAGCACACAGGUUACUCUGGGAUGCUCUUGACUAUUAUGUUUCUGUUGAAGCUGAUGCAUUUUUUCCUGGUUUUAACAAUGAUGGUAGCGGAUGGCCUGAUUUUUCAAGCUUGGUCAUGGGGCACCGACUAUACCAAACACCUUCUGGAGUAACCUAUCGCCCUAGCAGGAAAACACUUGCUGGGCUGUUUGGCUCUGUACAUGAUAACUUGUAUCAUCCAACACACAAUUGGAUGCAACUGGUGCGGGAUCAUCUUAACAAGAGCUUGGGUAUUGACGGACUUCUAGCAGGGGCUAAAUCAUCAAAACCUGCAAAUUUUCUUUCCUACCCUUUCCCAGAAUGUGCCUGCCGAACUUCGAAAUCUUAUGACAUUCCUGCACAUGUGAUGAGCAGCAAUGGUGAGAUAUUGUAUGGAAUUGAGGAUGAAUGUCCUGAAUGGAUGGUUCGUGGCCUAGCAAUGGCUUCCUUUAAGACAACUGGUGCCAAAGAUGAGGAUGUUGACGAGAUCGAGUUGCUGGAAGAUGACAAUGAGACAGACGGACAGUCUGAGUCUGAUAAUGGAAGCCGAAGUGACACAAGCAGAUCCAUGGAGCAUGAUGAAGAGAUGGAUCUAGAUGAUUAAAACAUAAUAGUGAAUAGAGAGAUCCAAAUUUGAAAUUGGCUCUUUCGGGAUGAGUUUGAAAGCUGUUUGUCAAGGCUGUAAAGAUAUAACCAAAGCUGCAAUCACUAAAAUCAAGUUUGGCUCCUCACAACUACCUAGUGCUAUAUUAAUAUUUCAUACAACUCUACCAAUGCAGUAACAUGGCCAUGUGCGUAAUCAGAUGAAGAUUUCAUGGUCCUGUGACAUCUGAUUUGAGUAUGAUGACAGCAUUGUUUUUGCAUUUAAUGCAUGUUUUGAUGCAAUUCUUGGUCUAUUGAUGUUCGUAUGGCUGAAAUCAACUCUUUCUCAACAUGCUGUGAAGCUGGCUGUUGUAUCUGCAUUGACCAGUACUCAGCUGGAUCCCCCAUUAGAGUGAAGAAGUAUCUUGGUGUGUGCAGAGAUUGUCACACGGCAUUUAAUUUUAUGUGCAAGAUUGUUCCGGGGGAGAUCAUCAUCAGAGACACCAACCAAUAUGUUUCAUUGUUUCUGAGAAUGAGCAUGUUCUUGUGGAAAUUACUGGUGACUUUGUGAGGGAUCAGGAUGUACAUUAGGAUACUGGUGACUUGUUUUUAUUAAUAAUAUCACCAAACAUUUUCAGCAGGAGUCACAACCUCAGCUACUUG